RNAcentral lists this ribosomal RNA (493 nucleotides) under uncultured bacterium. RNAcentral's name for it is "partial 16S ribosomal RNA". It matches the Rfam family "Bacterial small subunit ribosomal RNA", at positions 29 to 507 of the family's 1533-position model. The record is from RNAcentral.
ACGAACGCUGGCGGUGUGCUUAACACAUGCAAGUCGAACGGUGAAGCGCCUUCCUUUUUGGUGGGUGUGGAUGAGUGGCGAACGGGUGAGUAACACGUGAGUAACCUGCCCCCUUCUUCUGGAUAACCGCAUGAAAGUGUGGCUAAUACGGGAUAUUCUGGGUCUGUCGCAUGAUGGGUCUGGGAAAGAUAUUGUUUCGGUGGGGGAUGGGCUCGCGGCCUAUCAGCUUGUUGGUGGGGUGAUGGCCUACCAAGGCGGUGACGGGUAGCCGGCCUGAGAGGGUGGACGGUCACACUGGGACUGAGACACGGACCAGACUCCUACGGGAGGCAGCAGUGGGGAAUAUUGCACAAUGGGCGCAAGCCUGAUGCAGCGACGCCGCGUGAGGGAUGGAGGCCUUCGGGUUGUGAACCUCUUUCGCCAGUGAAGCAGGCCUGCCUCGUUUGUGGGUGGGUUGACGGUAGCUGGAUAAGAAGCGCCGGCUAACUACGUG